UGAAUUAGGAGCCCCGUGACCCGCCCCUCACCUGGCUUUUAACAGCUCUUCUCUAACCGCCCUCAGCGUGUUUGGGUCUUCUGAGUUGGGUCUACGCUGGGUGUCCUACAGUUAAUGCUGCACUUUCCUUCACCACAACAUUAGCUUUUCUGCGAGCAGUCCCUGGAACUCUGAACAGAUUGUGCCUGAUUGGAAGAGUCCAUCAUCACUUCCAAUAUGGUGAAACUGAGAUCCAGAGCAGUUAAGUACCUGAGGCGAAAUACGAAAAAGGGAUGCAUGUGAAAUCAGUUUCAGGAAAUAGACACAUUCCUUAUUUUUGGCCUUUAUUGUGUAAACUGAGGACUGUUCUUAUUGGUUUGAAGAAUUUCCAGACUUGGUAAACUCUAAGUGGAUUGCCGUGUAUUACUGAACCUCUAGGGGUUUUGUUUUCAUGUGAUAGAGCCCUUAGAAGAUUUAAAGGCAUCUUUCUGCGCUACAUCUGGAUCCAGUCUGCUCACUCAGAGGUCGGAAACUCCAUGACUGAGCAAGAGUGUAAACAUCCAAAUCCAAGGCAUAAUAUCUGUUAAUUCUCAACAAUUAGUUCUAACCAUUACCUGAUGGAACAAAAGAGUGUCAAUAUUAGGACUCUGAAUAGGAUCAUAUACUUGACUCAUGCAAAAGGAUAUAAUUUGGCAUACAAAAUGUUGAACACAAAAGUGGAUGUAGAACAAAAGACACUGGGCAAGUUGUGAGGUUUAAUUAACAAGAUAAAUGCAGAGGAGUAGCAGCAGUAUAGCAUUACCUAUAAGUGGUGAUGAGAAUUUCACACUAGGCUGUCUGUGACUGCCUUGGUGAGAACUUUGUUAACUGGCUUGUACUGGUGUCAGACAACCAGAGGGCUCCUCUCAGCUGUCAAUUUCCCUAAUGAAAGAGAAGAACAUGCACUAGAUUUCUGUAUUGACUUUUUGAUAACCACUGCAGCCCUCUAGGUGCCAACCUAUAAAUACUUUUGAAAACAGGGUUGAGUCUCUUUCAUAUUGCCUCUUUUAAUCUAGUCACACCAAUAUCAUACAAAUAAUUAGAGCAGAACUUCAGUAACAAAGUAUGCUUUUGACUGUAACAAUCUAAAAUUUAACUUUAUUAUGUACCUUUAUAUGGUUUUAUGUGGAAAGUUGGAGAGGGUGCCAUGCUUGAGCAAAAUCUUGUCUGAAAUGUUUGAUUUAUACAGAUUCCUUCCAUAACAAUUACAUGAUUUUUAAAAAUUAAACUACCCUUCUUUGCCAAGAUGAUAGCAAUCUUUUUUAGUCCAUCUUACAAUUUGUCUCUAAAGUGUCUGUCUUCCUAAUAUGCUGAUCAUUAGAGUAAUGCAUAUUUGAUGAAAAUGGGUAAUAAAUUAUAUUUCAAAGUCUAUUUCUAGGCAUAGAUUGAUGUACAUAUUGUUUUGUCUGCUGUGUUUAAUGGCCAUGCCUUACAUAUCUAGGUUUUAGCAAUACCUGCUGAGGAGUAAAUGAGAACUGACCUGUUUUGAAAUCCUUUUCUGGAAGUAAAUUUCUCAUCCUGUUACUUUGGGGGCUGGGGAGGAAAUUUGGCACACAUAUUGUCAUUCAUUUGCAAAUGCAAAGUCACCACUUGACAGCCUAUUCACUCUGAGGAGGACACAGUCUAUCAAACAAGAUCAAGGGUACUUUUUAUAGACUCACAAGCCACUCUCUUUAUGUACAUACAUAAAAGGAGCUGAUAAAAAUAGAAUUUCUCUCACUGGAAAAAGUCCCCUAAGUAAAAAUACCCAGUUCUAUGAAAUUUAUUGAUCAUAAAGGGGAAGUACUCUAGCAAAAGAACCACUAAGUGACUCAGGUUGUAUUGAUACAUAACACAAAUAGAGCUUGGGAAACUCUCUUGAGCACUCUUUUGGGAAAAACCAGUUCAGACAAAGUCUUUCUUAAUGAGCACUUUAGCCAUUCGGAUAUCACUUUCAGAGAGCCACUUGGCUGUUUGCUGAGGGAUACUAAACCCCUGGGAAAGGCAAGACUCCACUUGGGCCAGUCUGCCUGUACUAGUGUACAUGGAAGCCUAUAUGAAGCCCCAGAAACAUGACCCUGCUCACUCUUGGGCUCUGAUCCCCCUAGGUCCCAGCCGUAGGUCAGCAUGACCAUUGGUGAGAUGAUAUGGCAGCAAAGUGGAAAAUAUAUCAGUCUUACCAAUUGUCUGACCCAAUUUUCAAUUUUUCUUUCUAGUAGCACCUAUUCACUUUUUUUCUUUAUAGGAAUAGUCUGUGAGUUCAAGUAUUAUAGAGUUGUUGGGUUCACUUGUUUCCUCCUUUCCUGCUGACUUUUUUUUUUUUUUUGGAAAAUUUAGAAUAUGUUAAAUAAAGGACCGUCUACAUUUAUGUUCAGGAAAUAAUAAAAAGGAUAGAAGAAGCAAAAAAAAAAAGUCAAAUCUUGUGGAAAUAGAUAAUAAGACCAAUAUAUAAAUUAAAUCUGAGAAAUGGUCACCUACAUACUAGGUUUAAAUAGGUCAUCUUAACAUUGCUUCAAAUUCUAAAAUAUCUGAAAGCUGUCAAGGACUUUCUACUUUGACUGCCAAAAAUAAGAUAGGCAGGUAAACUUUUUUAUUUUUUUCCUUUUGAAAAGAUGUCCUCUUUCUUAAUUCUGGUUUAAUCCUUAGAUAAAGAAGUACUUUGGUGAAUAAGAUGUUGGAUAUUAUUAUUAUUCUGGGAUCCUUCCAUAAAAUUGUUUCCAAACAUGAGUUAAUAAUGUCCUCUGGUCUAUCUUUAGCCAUUUACUGUUCUCUUUUUAGCUACUUUUGCUUCUUUGGCCUAUAAGCCGCUGGAAAUAUCAUAGAUUCCAAGGACAUUUUUCUUUUCAUCCAUCUUAAUGUAAUGGUUUGAGACAGUCAAAUUCAUUCUUCAUUUGUUGGUAUUCACUUAUUUACUAACCUUUCUCAAUCAUAGUCAAUUUCCACUUUUCAAUUAGUCCUUCAACAAAUCAUAUUAAAAAUUAUAUGUUUACUAUUAAUACAUGUCAAAUACUAAGUGCUAUAAUGAAUUUCAGAAAAGUCUAAUAUUGUUCCGGUUUUUAAUGGGUACACUCUCAUAUUUAACUCUAUCUUGGCCAUGGCAUUGAUUCUCUGAAAAUCCAAAGUGUUAUACUGUAAAUUCACAAAAAUCAGACCUAUGUACAUUCUCAAAGUGUGUACCAUAA
This is a non-coding RNA of Sus scrofa (pig), 3179 nucleotides long. The record is from RefSeq and is a predicted model, not a curated record. NCBI's taxonomy places the organism in Eukaryota, Metazoa, Chordata, Mammalia, Artiodactyla, Suidae.